Molecule: unclassified non-coding RNA, 905 nt
Filed under: Xenopus laevis laevis
Lineage: Eukaryota; Metazoa; Chordata; Amphibia; Anura; Pipidae
Description: contains 16S-23S intergenic spacer region
Rfam family: Bacterial large subunit ribosomal RNA
Source: RNAcentral
GUUCAGCUCCUCAUCAUUUAACCCUUUAAUUAGUAUAACUAAUUCUAAACCCCCAAACAAUACUGAGCUAUUCUAUAAACUAUAGAAGCACUUAUGCUAGAACUAGUAAUGUGAAUACACGAUUCUCCUUAAUGUAAGUGUAAAUCAGAUCGAAUAAAUCACUGAUAAUUAACGUCCUCCCUGAGAUCCUUGCAAUAACAAAACAAGAAAACCAUGCACUUAUUACCGUUAAUCUAACACAAGAACAUUACAGGAAAGAUUAAAAGACGCAGAAGGAACUCGGCAAACUAUGAACCCCGCCUGUUUACCAAAAACAUCGCCUCUUGCUAAAAAACAUGUAUAAGAGGUCCAGCCUGCCCAGUGACUAUAUGUUCAACGGCCGCGGUAUUCUGACCGUGCAAAGGUAGCGUAAUCACUUGUCUUUUAAAUAAAGACUGGUAUGAACGGCACCACGAAGGUUCAACUGUCUCCUGCAUCCAAUCCAUUAAACUGACCUCCCCGUGCAGAGGCGGGGAUACAACCAUAAGACGAGAAGACCCUAUGGAGCUUUAAACUAAAGGCAACUGCCAACUUCAACCUAACCCAUAAGGAAAUAACAAUUAAACAAGCAGAAACUGACCUAAAGUUUUCGGUUGGGGCGACCACGGAGAAUAAAAAAUCCUCCUUGAAGAAUAGGGCCUACCACCCUUAACCAAGAACCACCAUUCUAAGUAACAAAAUUUAUGACUAUAAUUGAUCCAGUCCUACUGAUCAACGAACCAAGUUACCCUAGGGAUAACAGCGCAAUCCAUUUCAAAAGUUCCUAUCGACAAAUGGGUUUACGACCUCGAUGUUGGAUCAGGGCAUCCCAGUGGUGCAGCCGCUACUAAAGGUUCGUUUGUUCACGAUAAAGCCUACGUCAUCGG